This 118-nucleotide ribosomal RNA is filed under the name Pteropus alecto (black flying fox). Lineage: Eukaryota; Metazoa; Chordata; Mammalia; Chiroptera; Pteropodidae. The record is from RNAcentral.
CCGUUCAGCUAUGCCACCCCGAACAAGCCCGAUCUCGUCUGAUCUCGGCAGCUGAGCAGGUCGGACCUGGUUAGUACUUGGAUGGGAGACCACCUAGCAAGACCAAGUGCUGUAGGUG